Molecule: ribosomal RNA, 238 nt
Filed under: uncultured bacterium
Lineage: Bacteria
Description: partial 16S ribosomal RNA
Rfam family: Bacterial small subunit ribosomal RNA
Source: RNAcentral
AUUGAACGCUGGCGGCAGGCUUAACACAUGCAAGUCGAACGGUAACAGGGAGUAGCUUGCUACUUUGCUGACGAGUGGCGGACGGGUGAGUAAGGUAUGGGAAUUUGCCGAAUGGAGGGGGACAACAGUUGGAAACGGCUGCUAAUACCGCAUAACGUCGCGAGACCGAAGGGUGGACUUCGGGCCACCUGCCAUUUGAUGACGCCAUAUGAGUAUUAGUUAGUUGGUGUAGGUAACG